RNAcentral lists this ribosomal RNA (496 nucleotides) under uncultured bacterium. RNAcentral describes it as "partial 16S ribosomal RNA". It matches the Rfam family "Bacterial small subunit ribosomal RNA", at positions 29 to 507 of the family's 1533-position model. The record is from RNAcentral.
ACGAACGCUGGCGGCGUGCCUAAUACAUGCAAGUUGCGCGAUGAAGAUUGGUGCUUGCCCCAAUUUGAAGAGCAGCGAACGGGUGAGUAACGCGUGGGGAAUCUGCCUUUGAGCGGGGGACAACAUUUGGAAACGAAUGCUAAUACCGCAUAAUAACUUUAAACAUAAGUUUUAAGUUUGAAAGAUGCAAUUGCAUCACUCAAAGAUGAUCCCGCGUUGUAUUAGCUAGUUGGUGAGGUAAAGGCUCACCAAGGCGAUGAUACAUAGCCGACCUGAGAGGGUGAUCGGCCACAUUGGGACUGAGACACGGCCCAAACUCCUACGGGAGGCAGCAGUAGGGAAUCUUCGGCAAUGGACGAAAGUCUGACCGAGCAACGCCGCGUGAGUGAAGAAGGGUUUCGGAUCGUAAAACUCUGUUGGUAGAGAAGAACGUUGGUGAGAGUGGAAAGCUCAUCAAGUGACGGUAACUACCCAGAAAGGGACGGCUAACUACGUG